UACGGGGGGAGCAAGCGUUGUUCGGAUUUACUGGGCGUAAAGGGCUCGUAGGCGGCCAACUAAGUCGGAUGUGAAAUCCCCAGGCUUAACCUGGGAACUGCAUCCGAUACUGGAUGGCUUGAAUCCGGGAGAGGGAUGCAGAAUUCCAGGUGUAGCGGUGAAAUGCGUAGAUAUCUGGAGGAAUACCGGUGGCGAAGGCGGCAUCCUGGACCGGCAUUGACGCUGAUGAGCGAAAGCUAGGGGAGCAAACGGG
RNAcentral lists this ribosomal RNA (253 nucleotides) under uncultured bacterium. RNAcentral describes it as "partial 16S ribosomal RNA". It matches the Rfam family "Bacterial small subunit ribosomal RNA", at positions 524 to 776 of the family's 1533-position model. The record is from RNAcentral.